UACGUAGGGGGCAAGCGUUGUCCGGAAUUAUUGGGCGUAAAGCGCGCGCAGGUGGUGGAUUAAGUUGUGGGUAAAAGGCAAUGGCUCAACCAUUGUAAGCCUGCAAAACUGGUUCACUUUGAGUGCAGGAGAGGGGAGUGGAAUUCCCGGUGUAGCGGUGGAAUGCGUAGAGAUCGGGAGGAACACCAGUGGCGAAGGCGACUCUCUGGCCUGUAACUGACACUGAGGCGCGAAAGCGUGGGGAGCGAACAGG
This 253-nucleotide ribosomal RNA is filed under the name uncultured bacterium. RNAcentral describes it as "partial 16S ribosomal RNA". It matches the Rfam family "Bacterial small subunit ribosomal RNA", at positions 524 to 776 of the family's 1533-position model. The record is from RNAcentral.